UCGUACGGUAACAGGUCCAGCAAUGGAUGCUGACGAGUGGCGCACGGGUGCGUAACACGUAUGCAACCUACCUUUGACUGGGAGAUAGCCCCGAGAAAUCGGGAUUAAUACCCCAUACAAUUACGAUGAGACAUCUCAUUGUAAUGAAAGCUCCGGCGGUCUUUAGAUGGGCAUGCGCGACAUUAGCUAGUUGGUGAGGUAACGGCUCACCAAGGCUCCGAUGUCUAGGGGUUCUGAGAGGAUUCACCCCCACACUGGUACUGAGACACGGACCAGACUCCUACGGGAGGCAGCAGUAAGGAAUAUUGGUCAAUGGACGCAAGUCUGAACCAGCCAUGCCGCGUGCAGGAAGACAGCCCUACGGGUUGUAAACUGCUUUUGUACGGGAAAAAACCUCCGGUCGUGCACCGGAGCUGAUGGUACCGUAAGAAUAAGCAUCGGCUAACUCCGUGCCAGCAGCCGCGGUAAUACGGAGGAUGCAAGCGUUAUCCGGAUUCAUUGGGUUUAAAGGGUGCGCAGGCGGAAUGAUAAGUCAGUGGUGAAAUCCUACGGCUCAACCGUAGAACUGCCAUUGAUACUGUCGUUCUUGAGUACACUUGAAGUGGGCGGAAUGUGUCAUGUAGCGGUGAAAUGCUUAGAUAUGACAAGGAACACCGAUCGCGAAGGCAGCU
This 671-nucleotide ribosomal RNA is filed under the name uncultured Bacteroidota bacterium. RNAcentral describes it as "bacterial SSU rRNA". It matches the Rfam family "Bacterial small subunit ribosomal RNA", at positions 62 to 726 of the family's 1533-position model. Lineage: Bacteria; Pseudomonadati; Bacteroidota. The record is from RNAcentral.